AACGAACGCUGGCGGCAGGCUUAACACAUGCAAGUCGAACGCCCCGCAAGGGGAGUGGCAGACGGGUGAGUAACGCGUGGGAACAUACCCUUUUCUACGGAAUAGCUCUGGGAAACUGGAAUUAAUACCGUAUACGCCCUACGGGGGAAAGAUUUAUCGGGGAAGGAUUGGCCCGCGUUGGAUUAGCUAGUUGGUGGGGUAAAGGCCUACCAAGGCGACGAUCCAUAGCUGGUCUGAGAGGAUGAUCAGCCACAUUGGGACUGAGACACGGCCCAAACUCCUACGGGAAGUAGCAGUGGGGAAUAUUGGACAAUGGGCGCAAGCCUGAUCCAGCCAUGCCGCGUGAGUGAUGAAGGCCUUAGGGUUGUAAAGCUCUUUCACCGAUGAAGAUAAUGACGGUAGUCGGAGAAGAAGCCCCGGCUAACUUCGUG
This 431-nucleotide ribosomal RNA is filed under the name uncultured bacterium. RNAcentral describes it as "partial 16S ribosomal RNA". It matches the Rfam family "Bacterial small subunit ribosomal RNA", at positions 29 to 507 of the family's 1533-position model. The record is from RNAcentral.